RNAcentral lists this ribosomal RNA (222 nucleotides) under uncultured bacterium. Its description in RNAcentral is "partial 16S ribosomal RNA". It matches the Rfam family "Bacterial small subunit ribosomal RNA", at positions 109 to 334 of the family's 1533-position model. The record is from RNAcentral.
AGUAAUACAUCGGAACGUGCCCAGUCGUGGGGGAUAACUACGCGAAAGCGUAGCUAAUACCGCAUACGAUCUACGGAUGAAAGCGGGGGACCGUAAGGCCUCGCGCGAUUGGAGCGGCCGAUGGCAGAUUAGGUAGUUGGUGGGGUAAAGGCUCACCAAGCCAACGAUCUGUAGCUGGUCUGAGAGGACGACCAGCCACACUGGGACUGAGACACGGCCCAG